UGGGAAGAUAGCUCAGUUGGCAGAGCACGAGACUCUUAAUCUGAGGGUGAUGAGUUCAAGCCCCGCAUUGGGCAAAA
Molecule: non-coding RNA, 77 nt
Organism: Podarcis lilfordi (Lilford's wall lizard)
Lineage: Eukaryota; Metazoa; Chordata; Lepidosauria; Squamata; Lacertidae
Source: the annotation of a GenBank genome assembly